UUCCUUUUCUGAGUGAAGCUUGCAUAAGCUCCAAUUUGUUGCUUCACUUAUGAUAAUUUAUCCUGUCAAAAACGUGGAAUAGUUUAAACCUCUAUUUCUUCAUCCAAUUUACUCUGUCUGAUGCAGCUAACAGAGUAUAUUUGUUCUCCAACCACAUACAACCUUCAUAAUAUAAAAGACUUCUAUGUCUAUAUCUCUAUGUAUCAAACACAUCAAU
RNAcentral lists this long non-coding RNA (217 nucleotides) under Phoenix dactylifera (date palm). Its description in RNAcentral is "long non-coding RNA (PDAC_LNC008109)". Lineage: Eukaryota; Viridiplantae; Streptophyta; Magnoliopsida; Arecales; Arecaceae. The record is from RNAcentral.